GAGUUUGAUCCUGGCUCAGAUUGAACGCUGGCGGUAGGCUUAACACAUGCAAGUCGAGCGCGAAAGUUCCUUCGGGGAUGAGUAGAGCGGCGGACGGGAGAGUAACGCGUAGGAAUCUGCCUGGUAGUGGGGGAUAACUCGGGGAAACUCGAGCUAAUACCGCAUACGCCCCAUGGGGGAAAGCGGGGGACCUUCGGGCCUCGUGCUAUCAGAUGAGCCUGCGUCGGAUUAGCUUGUUGGUGAGGUAAUGGCUCACCAAGGCAACGAUCCCUAGCUGGUCUGAGAGGAUGAUCAGCCACACUGGGGCUGAGACACGGCCCAGACUCCUACGGGAGGCAGCAGUGGGGAAUAUUGGACAAUGGGGGCAACCCUGAUCCAGCCAUACCGCGUGUGUGAAGAAGGCCUUCGGGUUGUAAAGCACUUUCAGUAGGGAGGAAAAGGUUUCGGUUAAUAACCGGGAUCCCUGACGCUACCUACAGAAGAAGCACCGGCAAACUCCGU
RNAcentral lists this ribosomal RNA (501 nucleotides) under uncultured Gammaproteobacteria bacterium. RNAcentral describes it as "bacterial SSU rRNA". It matches the Rfam family "Bacterial small subunit ribosomal RNA", at positions 9 to 506 of the family's 1533-position model. The record is from RNAcentral. Lineage: Bacteria; Pseudomonadati; Pseudomonadota; Gammaproteobacteria.